This is a non-coding RNA of Arachis ipaensis, 244 nucleotides long. The record is from RefSeq and is a predicted model, not a curated record. Lineage: Eukaryota; Viridiplantae; Streptophyta; Magnoliopsida; Fabales; Fabaceae.
GUGUUUCCAUUUCGAAAAGCCCUUUAGUCAUCAUUUUGUUACCUUACGCUGAGGUUUCGCAGCGUUAAUUGCUAUAAGAUUGAGUCUUGAUUAUUCUAUAUUGUGAUUAGAGUUGUUGUGGUUGCUGCGUAAAAGGUUUUGAGCUAAGGUUGCAGCUGCCGCUGAUUGCGGGCCGAAAAGAAAGGGUUUCUUGAUGCGUUUGGUUUAUGGGUUUCGAUUAUUCGAGGACCCAGAGGAAGAGGCA